RNAcentral lists this ribosomal RNA (1836 nucleotides) under human gut metagenome. RNAcentral's name for it is "bacterial LSU rRNA". It matches the Rfam family "Bacterial large subunit ribosomal RNA", at positions 1096 to 2925 of the family's 2925-position model. The record is from RNAcentral.
GGAUGUUGGCUUAGAAGCAGCCAUCAUUUAAAGAAAGCGUAAUAGCUCACUGGUCUAAUGGCUCUGCGCCGAAAAUGUAACGGGGCUAAGCAUGGUACCGAAGCUUUGGCAAUCUCCUUUGGGGAUUGGGUAGGGGAGCGUUCGCUGCGGGCUGAAGGUGUGCCGGAAGGCAUGCUGGACUGCAGUGAAGUGAUUAUGCUGACAUGAGUAACGAUAAAAUAUGUGAAAAACAUAUUCGCCGAAAACCCGAGGUUUCCUGGGUAAAGGUAAUCUUCCCAGGGUUAGUCGGAUCCUAAGGUGAGGGUGAAAGCCGUAACCGAUGGAAAACAGGUUAAUAUUCCUGUACUUGUUGUGUAGCGCGAUGGAGGGACGCAGGAAGAUAGGCGGGCCGGGUGUUGGAUAUCCCGGUGCAAGCGUGUAGGAAUAUCCGGUAGGCAAACCCGCCGGACGAAUCUGAGACGCGAGUCCGUGGGCGCAAGCCCUGAAGCCGUUGAGUCUAUGCUGCCUAGAAAAGCUCCUAAGUUUAUCCACAGCAAUCCGUACCGCAAACCAACUCAGGUGGGUGGGAUGAACAAUCCAAGGCGCUCGAGAGAACUCUGGCCAAGGAACUCGGCAAAAUGACCCCGUAACUUCGGAAGAAGGGGUGCUCUCUAGGGUGACAUGUUUAACAUAUGAAGCCCCGGGGAGCCGCAGUGAAUUGGUGGUGGCGACUGUUUACUAAAAACAUAGGUCUGUGCGAAGUCCUAAAGACGACGUAUACGGACUGACGCCUGCCCGGUGCUGGAAGGUUAAAAGGAGGGGUCAGCGCAAGCAAAGCUCCGAAUUGAAGCCCCAGUAAACGGCGGCCGUAACUAUAACGGUCCUAAGGUAGCGAAAUUCCUUGUCGGGUAAGUUCCGACCUGCACGAAUGGCGUAACGAUCUCCACACUGUCUCGGCCAGAGACUCGGUGAAAUUGCAGUUGCGGUGAAAAUUCCGUGUACCCGCAGAAAGACGGAAAGACCCUGUGCACCUUUACUAUAGCUUGACAUUGGAUUUUGGGCCUGCAUGUGUAGGAUAGGUGGGAGGCUGUGAACCCUGUACGCCAGUAUGGGGGGAGCCAUCCUUGAAAUACCACCCUUGCAUGUUUAAGAUCCUAACUUCUUCCGGUUAUCCCGGAGAAAGACAGUGUCUGGCGGGUAGUUUGACUGGGGCGGUCGCCUCCUAAAGUGUAACGGAGGCAUGCAAAGGUUCCCUCAGCCUGAUCGGAAACCAGGCGCUGAGUGCAAACGCAUAAGGGAGCUUGACUGUAAGAGAGACAUCUCGAACAGGAACGAAAGUUGGCGUUAGUGAUCCGGUGGUCCCGAAUGGAAGGGCCAUCGCUCAUUGGAUAAAAGGUACGCCGGGGAUAACAGGCUGAUCGCAUCCAAGAGUUCACAUCGACGAUGCGGUUUGGCACCUCGAUGUCGGCUCAUCACAUCCUGGGGCUGAAGCAGGUCCCAAGGGUACGGCUGUUCGCCGUUUAAAGUGGUACGCGAGCUGGGUUUAAAACGUCGUGAGACAGUUUGGUCCCUAUCUUCUGUGGGCGAAGGAGAAUUGAGAGGGCCUGUCCCUAGUACGAGAGGACCGGGAUGGACGCACCCCUGGUGAUCCUGUUGUCGCGCCAGCGGCAUAGCAGGGUAGCUAUGUGCGGAAGGGAUAACCGCUGAAAGCAUCUAAGCGGGAAGCCUGCCUCAAGAUAAGUUCUCCCCUCGAAAGAGCUGAAGGGCCCGGGUAGACUACCCGGUCGAUAGGCUGGAGGUGUAAGCGCGGCGACGUGCUCAGCUGACCAGUACUAAUAGCCCGAGCGGCUUAUUUUU